This 240-nucleotide unclassified non-coding RNA is filed under the name soil metagenome. Its description in RNAcentral is "partial contains 5.8S ribosomal RNA, internal transcribed spacer 2, and large subunit ribosomal RNA". The record is from RNAcentral.
AACCAUAGAAACCUGCGGAGUACCUGCGGAAGGAUCAUUACAGAGUUGCAAAACUCCCUAAACCAUUGUGAACGUUACCUAAACCGUUGCUUCGGCGGGCGGCCCGGGUCCUUCCCGGCGCCCAUCGGCCCUCGCGGGCGCCCGCCGGAGGUAAACCAAACUAUUGCAUUGUAUGGCCCCUCUGAGUCUUCUGUACUGAAUAAGUCAAAACUUUUAACAAUGGAUCUCAGAUCGGAAGAG